GGCAUUGGAUGAUGAUGAGAAGGGAGAAGGAGGCAUUGAGAAGAAGUUUCUUGAUGUAAGAAAGAAAGCACCUUACAUCCUUUUUCAUGUCAAAGACUCUUCAUGCCCAAACAAUUUUUUGUCACAUACAAACUUGCUCCUUACCAUCCCAACCACUUCAUCACACCCUUAAAGAUCUUAUUUCUUUUGAUCUUAGCCAUUCAAACCAA
Molecule: long non-coding RNA, 209 nt
Filed under: Elaeis guineensis (African oil palm)
Lineage: Eukaryota; Viridiplantae; Streptophyta; Magnoliopsida; Arecales; Arecaceae
Description: long non-coding RNA (EGUI_LNC035670)
Source: RNAcentral